This 253-nucleotide ribosomal RNA is filed under the name uncultured bacterium. RNAcentral describes it as "partial 16S ribosomal RNA". It matches the Rfam family "Bacterial small subunit ribosomal RNA", at positions 524 to 776 of the family's 1533-position model. The record is from RNAcentral.
UACGUAGGGGGCGAGCGUUGUCCGGAGUUACUGGGCGUAAAGCGCACGCAGGCGGUCUGCUAAGUUUGGAGUGACAGUUGGUGGCUUAACUGCCAAAGUGCUUCGAAAACUGACAGACUUGAGGGCUUCAGAGGGACACGGAAUUCCGGGUGGAGUGGUGAAAUGCGUAGAGACCCGGAGGAACACCAGUGGCGAAGGCGGCUUCCUGGUCUGCAACUGACGCUGUGGCGCGAAAGCUAGGGGAGCAAACAGG